RNAcentral lists this ribosomal RNA (478 nucleotides) under uncultured bacterium. RNAcentral describes it as "partial 16S ribosomal RNA". It matches the Rfam family "Bacterial small subunit ribosomal RNA", at positions 28 to 507 of the family's 1533-position model. The record is from RNAcentral.
GAUGAACGCUGGCGGCGUGCUUAACACAUGCAAGUCGAACGGGAAACCUUUUAUUGUGGCUUCGGCAGGUUUAGCUGGUUUCUAGUGGCGGACGGGUGAGUAACGCGUGGGUAACCUGCCUUAUACAGGGGGAUAACAACCAGACAUGGUUGCUAAUACCGCAUCAGCGCACAGGACCGCAUGGUUCGGUGGGAAAAACUCGGGUGGUAUCAGAUGGACCCGCGUUGGCUUAGCUAGUUGGCAGGGUAACGGCCUGCCAAGGCGACGAUCCAUAGCCGGGCUGAUAGGGGGAACCGCCACGUUGGGACUGAGACACAGCCCAGACUCCGACGGGACGGAGCAGAGGGGAAUACUGCAGGAUGGAGGAAACUCUGAUGCAGCGGCGCCGCGGGAAGGAAGAAGUAUGUCGGAAUGUGAACUUCUAUCAGCAGAGAAGAUAGUGACGGUACCUGACAAAGAAGCCCCGGCUAACUACGUG